Molecule: ribosomal RNA, 504 nt
Filed under: uncultured bacterium
Lineage: Bacteria
Description: bacterial SSU rRNA
Rfam family: Bacterial small subunit ribosomal RNA
Source: RNAcentral
AGUUUGAUCAUGGCUCAGAUUGAACGCUGGCGGCAUGCCUUACACAUGCAAGUCGAACGGCAGCACGGGGAGCUUGCUCCUGGUGGCGAGUGGCGAACGGGUGAGUAAUACAUCGGAACGUACCCUGAAGUGGGGAUAACGUAGCGAAAGUUACGCUAAUACCGCAUAUUCUGUGAGCAGGAAAGAGGGGGAUCGCAAGACCUCUUGCUUUAGGAGCGGCCGAUGUCGGAUUAGCUAGUUGGUGAGGUAAAGGCUCACCAAGGCGACGAUCCGUAGCGGGUCUGAGAGGAUGAUCCGCCACACUGGGACUGAGACACGGCCCAGACUCCUACGGGAGGCAGCAGUGGGGAAUUUUGGACAAUGGGCGCAAGCCUGAUCCAGCCAUGCCGCGUGAGUGAAGAAGGCCUUCGGGUUGUAAAGCUCUUUCGGCCGGGAAGAAAUCGCAUGGGUUAAUACCUUGCGUGGAUGACGGUACCGGAAUAAGAAGCACCGGCUAACUACGUG